UUGAUCAUGGCUCAGAUUGAACGCUGGCGGCAGGCCUAACACAUGCAAGUCGAACGGUAACAGGAAGCAGCUUGCUGCUUUGCUGACGAGUGGCGGACGGGUGAGUAAUGUCUGGGAAACUGCCUGAUGGAGGGGGAUAACUACUGGAAACGGUGGCUAAUACCGCAUAACGUCGCAAGACCAAAGAGGGGGACCUUCGGGCCUCUUGCCAUCAGAUGUGCCCAGAUGGGAUUAGCUUGUUGGUGAGGUAACGGCUCACCAAGGCGACGAUCCCUAGCUGGUCUGAGAGGAUGACCAGCCACACUGGAACUGAGACACGGUCCAGACUCCUACGGGAGGCAGCAGUGGGGAAUAUUGCACAAUGGGCGCAAGCCUGAUGCAGCCAUGCCGCGUGUAUGAAGAAGGCCUUCGGGUUGUAAAGUACUUUCAGCGGGGAGGAAGGUGUUGUGGUUAAUAACCGCAGCAAUUGACGUUACCCGCAGAAGAAGCACCGGCUAACUCCGUGCCAGCAGCCGCGGUAAUACGGAGGGUGCAAGCGUUAAUCGGAAUUACUGGGCGUAAAGCGCACGCAGGCGGUCUGUCAAGUCGGAUGUGAAAUCCCCGGGCUCAACCUGGGAACUGCAUUCGAAACUGGCAGGCUUGAGUCUUGUAGAGGGGGGUAGAAUUCCAGGUGUAGCGGUGAAAUGCGUAGAGAUCUGGAGGAAUACCGGUGGCGAAGGCGGCCCCCUGGACAAAGACUGACGCUCAGGUGCGAAAGCGUGGGGAGCAAACAGGAUUAGAUACCCUGGUAGUCCACGCCGUAAACGAUGUCUACUUGGAGGUUGUGCCCUUGAGGCGUGGCUUCCGGAGCUAACGCGUUAAGUAGACCGCCUGGGGAGUACGGCCGCAAGGUUAAAACUCAAAUGAAUUGACGGGGGCCCGCACAAGCGGUGGAGCAUGUGGUUUAAUUCGAUGCAACGCGAAGAACCUUACCUGGUCUUGACAUCCACAGAAGAAUCCAGAGAUGGAUUUGUGCCUUCGGGAACUGUGAGACAGGUGCUGCAUGGCUGUCGUCAGCUCGUGUUGUGAAAUGUUGGGUUAAGUCCCGCAACGAGCGCAACCCUUAUCCUUUGUUGCCAGCGGUUAGGCCGGGAACUCAAAGGAGACUGCCAGUGAUAAACUGGAGGAAGGUGGGGAUGACGUCAAGUCAUCAUGGCCCUUACGACCAGGGCUACACACGUGCUACAAUGGCGCAUACAAAGAGAAGCGACCUCGCGAGAGCAAGCGGACCUCAUAAAGUGCGUCGUAGUCCGGAUUGGAGUCUGCAACUCGACUCCAUGAAGUCGGAAUCGCUAGUAAUCGUGGAUCAGAAUGCCACGGUGAAUACGUUCCCGGGCCUUGUACACACCGCCCGUCACACCAUGGGAGUGGGUUGCAAAAGAAGUAGGUAGCUUAACCUUCGGGAGGGCGCUUACCACUUUGUGAUUCAUGACUGGGGUGAAGUCGUAACAAGGUAACCGUAGGGGAACCUGCGGUUGGA
RNAcentral lists this ribosomal RNA (1519 nucleotides) under Salmonella enterica. RNAcentral describes it as "bacterial SSU rRNA". It matches the Rfam family "Bacterial small subunit ribosomal RNA". RNAcentral also lists the same sequence under 1 other name. Lineage: Bacteria; Pseudomonadati; Pseudomonadota; Gammaproteobacteria; Enterobacterales; Enterobacteriaceae. The record is from RNAcentral.